GCGCUCGAUGAUUCAUUGCCCCAGUUAGGGGUUCUCUCCAGCAAGCCCGGCGCGAGCCCUCUGAAGGGUCUCCUCGGGGACCCGCGGAAACCCAUCAGCCGCUAGAGCUGGUCUUUAAGUAAAGGUCAAGCAGGACGCGGGAGGAGCCAGGACUCAAGCGUGAUGGACUUGAAGAGCAGCGACAGAUGCUCCCAGGCGGCCCCGGCAUUGGGAAUGGGGAGAAAACGCCCACCUCGGGUCUACAGGAGACCAGAAGGCUGUCAGCCUGGAACACCCGGGCACCUCUCAAAUUUGCGGCUUCCUGUAGGGUCGUCUUGGCCCAGGAACCGCGGGAAUCUGCCCUCGCACUGCGGGGGAGAGCAAGUUUCCAGGCUCUGAGCACUUAUCACACGUUGUAUUAUGUGUCUGUCUCUGGGUGACUUCCCUCGUAAGGUCCCACAGCGUCACAAGGCCGGGGACAUAGUUGGGGCCCAAACGAUGCUGAAACAUGGGAUGCCAGAGUCUAUCCAAAACCUCACAGUGCCUUCCAAGUUCCAGAAUCUCCUGCCAGCUUCCAGUCUUUCAUUCUUCUGCGUGCCAGCACUCCAGACUAAACCCUUCCAUGUGCCCCCAGCUCCCCGCACCAACCCUGUAACCUGCCUGCCCUCCUCACUGGUACCCUUCUCCGUUUCCUCCUCUCUCUACACUGCGAGUGUGCCUCUGGCACCUCUCCCAGGACCCAUUCACCUUCGGAGGCUGGUCCAUCCUCCCUCUUUUAGAGGCUACGUGUGCUGUGUGUUUGGCCUCUGGUUCACUGGGGACCAGAAAAACAAAAUUUAUCAUCUGACUGUUGUAUUUUUUCUUCUUUCCAUUUUUUUCCCCUUAAGAAUGAAGCAAGCACUUCUCCUCUGUGCUCAGAAAGAGCUUCAAACACGGCAGGCCACAGGCAAAAGCAUAUCCUCCUUCUCAGAGGGAAGGAAUGCAACCGUUAACAAUAAAAAAAAAAAAAAUCCCUGGGAUUUAUGGAGGCCUUGGGCUUAUGAGCUGCCUCACAUCCGUUA
This is a long non-coding RNA of Mesoplodon densirostris (Blainville's beaked whale), 1040 nucleotides long. RefSeq lists it as uncharacterized. The transcript has 2 exons. The record is from RefSeq and is a predicted model, not a curated record. Lineage: Eukaryota; Metazoa; Chordata; Mammalia; Artiodactyla; Ziphiidae.